UGCUUCCGUACUUUCAGUCACAGCUCCCAGAGUGAGCAGCCCACGUAGACAGAGACAACAUGUGACCUCCAUACAGAAAGACCCGGGAUCAAACCAGCAAACCGGUGAUUGUCUGGCUGAAGGGCCGUGUCAGCCUCCCUGUGGCCCCCCGCCCCCCCAAACUGUAAUCUAUAUGUAAACGUACCAGACAAUGACUAACCAUCGGUAGUGGACCAGAUGUUCUUGGGACAUUUGACGCAAUCUAGUUGGAGGUCCACAGCAACUGUUGUUGUUGGAGGUGUACAGCUUCACUUCCAUAAACCUUUUUGUUAAUUGUCUCAGAAAAAAAAAGAGUUCUUCCAAAAAGGGGAAUUCCACAGUUUUGUAAGAAUAUUACAAAAUCAAACAAACCAAAGGUUUGGAAAUGGGACGUGGGCUUUUCAUGAAUUGAAGG
Cynoglossus semilaevis (tongue sole) is the source of this 433-nucleotide long non-coding RNA. RefSeq lists it as uncharacterized. The record is from RefSeq and is a predicted model, not a curated record. NCBI's taxonomy places the organism in Eukaryota, Metazoa, Chordata, Actinopteri, Pleuronectiformes, Cynoglossidae. The transcript is spliced from 2 exons.